Long non-coding RNA from Rana temporaria (common frog), 215 nucleotides. RefSeq lists it as uncharacterized. Lineage: Eukaryota; Metazoa; Chordata; Amphibia; Anura; Ranidae. The transcript has 3 exons. The record is from RefSeq and is a predicted model, not a curated record.
UGGACAAUCAGCCGCCCCUCACAUCACCGGAUGGCUCCAGUAAUGGGAACCCACCAGAGAGAUGUCCCCGUCCUCUGUAUACCCGGGAUUUCACACCGGAAGAUCAGAGUGAAGAUCUGAAUAGCAUUAAAGUUGAGGGUGAAGUAGAAGAGACGUAUGUGAGGGAUGAUCAGCAAUAUACGGAGGAGGCUGGAAUGACGAGGACAUUCAUAGAG